GUGCUGUAAGGAGCUAUUCACAGGGCUUGUCCCAGUGACAGCAGACACCCGAUACUCGCAGGCUGGGUCUUGUAAGCUCAUACUUUUUAUCAAGGAGAGGUGCAGGGAGAAUUUGCUGCUUCAAAGACUUUUCCCACAGCAACGGAGCUAUGAGCUCGUGCUGUUUGCAGCCAGACGCUGAUGCUCUGUGCAGUGAGAUGGAGGUGCCUGGAGGAGUGGCUGGGUGGCUGGAGAAGCUGCGUGAGGACAUCGAGUCUGAAGGAAUGACAGCCAUUUCUGGAACAUCCUCCCUUGAACAAAAAGUACAGUCACUUUAGUGACAGAGCGUGCAGGAACAGCUCCUGAGGGUGACUUCUCAGCCUUGCAUGAGUAGGAAGAAAAAAUAUGGUACUAGUAUUUCUCACAGCAAGUUGCCAGGUAAACAACCAUUAGACAUAUUUCAUCGUACAGAAAUCAAUUCUAUGUAAGACACAUACAAACAUUCUCAGUUGCUGCUUGCAGGAC
Molecule: long non-coding RNA, 504 nt
Filed under: Numida meleagris (helmeted guineafowl)
Lineage: Eukaryota; Metazoa; Chordata; Aves; Galliformes; Numididae
Description: lncRNA (ENSNMEG00000014369.1)
Source: RNAcentral